GAGGGCUGUGAGAAGGAUCAUGGACAUGACCAGAGCUAUUUGAGGCUUUGCAUUUCACUUUUGACUGGAGAUUUAUGAUGAGCACACUGCUAUGAAUUUCAGCAUCAGUGCAGUGAAAGUAUACCAAAACAACAACAGCUUAUUGGCUAGAAGCCCAAUUCUCUGGUCACAUCUACAAACAGGAUUCAUGAACAGCCCUCCAACGAGCACAGGAUCAGAGACAGGAAAAGCAGCAGUUCCUGUGGCCGCCACGUUGCCAGCCAGAUGGGCUUACAUACAGUUAUCUGUGCAAGCACAUGGAUUUACCACAGGUAAACUAACCAAAGCAGCUCAACCUGCGAGGCCAUACUUGUGACUGAGAAGAAAAUGCUUUCUUUUAUUCCAGUCUGAAGGAGAAAGCAGAAGGACCUAUUCUCUGAUUUGACUACUGCUGUGCAGGAGAGCAGGUCUCAUUGAGAAGCAUCCAUACAGCCUACCCUACAAGAGCGAGCUGGGAGGCUGGUCUCCCCAGGUGACAGAGCAGAUGCUCUCCAUCACCCCAGGACCAGCUCCUCUGUUUCUCCCACCAGCUCUAGAGGUGACAUAGGAGCAAGGCCUCUUCCCUUAGAAAAAGGUUGGCUGCAACCACCACCUUUUGUCUUCCAUGCGUUCCUGGAUUAUCCCACCUGGGUACAGCAAAACACCGCUCUUGAGCAAGAUCCUGUUGCACAACUUCAGAGAAGAAGGGGUUGGCCACCACAAACUCAACAUUUCCACCCCAGACAAGUGCUGAGGGAGUCCCUUCCUCUACCAGCCAUGGGACCUGGCAGCACAAAAGAGUUGAAGCAGCCCCAGCACUGAGGUAAUUUCAAACACUGAGCAAGAGACAAGGCCACUUUUAUGAAUUGUUAGAAGCCUGGCAUGGGUGGAAGUUUGUAAAUUUUGCCUGUCCUGACUGCUGAGCACAGUGAGGCAAUAGAUCUCCUCACAAGGUCAGGCACACUCCCACAGAGCAGGCCUGGCACCAGCACCAUUCAGUGUGUACCUGCGCAGGCCAGAUACUUGUGUUGUAUGGCCCACAGCCACAAGGACAUGAGGCCCACUGACUGCAGGCCAUAGUCUGAGAUCCCAGCUCACAAUUAGGAUCUGUUUUCAGAUGACAUUCAAGGUGUUUGUGGCAGUUUUCUCAUGUCUCUUGAAGACAAAAGCUUUUUCCCCAAGAGAUCUGCU
RNAcentral lists this long non-coding RNA (1209 nucleotides) under Anas platyrhynchos platyrhynchos (common mallard). Its description in RNAcentral is "lncRNA (ENSAPLG00000021309.1)". Lineage: Eukaryota; Metazoa; Chordata; Aves; Anseriformes; Anatidae. The record is from RNAcentral.